This 259-nucleotide long non-coding RNA is filed under the name Homo sapiens (human). RNAcentral describes it as "HSALNT0068549". The record is from RNAcentral. Lineage: Eukaryota; Metazoa; Chordata; Mammalia; Primates; Hominidae.
AAGUCGCCCCUAGACAGAGAGUUUGUUGAUUGCUCCUUAGGAGCCAGGCACUGUCAGGACAGGAGGAUGGGAUGAGGAGAUGGACAUGAAUCUGACCCGGCUUCUUUGAGGGAGCCUAAAGAAAUCUAAGAGAUGACAUGGACAGCCCCAAGGAUUGAGUAAUCAUGUAAAAAGUGAAAAAUGGAAGUUGGAUGAAAAAAUAAAAACACAGUCGAACUUCAGCAGGAUGUAACAAACAAAUAUCAAAGACCCCAGGAAG